RNAcentral lists this ribosomal RNA (763 nucleotides) under uncultured Streptococcaceae bacterium. Its description in RNAcentral is "bacterial SSU rRNA". It matches the Rfam family "Bacterial small subunit ribosomal RNA", at positions 28 to 776 of the family's 1533-position model. The record is from RNAcentral. Lineage: Bacteria; Bacillati; Bacillota; Bacilli; Lactobacillales; Streptococcaceae.
GACGAACGCUGGCGGCGUGCCUAAUACAUGCAAGUAGAACGCUGAAGGAGGAGCUUGCUUCUCUGGAUGAGUUGCGAACGGGGGAGUAACGCGUAGGUAACUUGCCUGGUAGCGGGGGAUAAUUAUUGGAAACGAUAGCUAAUACCGCAUAAGAGUAGAUGUUGCAUGACAUUUGCUUAAAAGGUGCAAUUGCAUCACUACCAGAUGGACCUGCGUUGUAUUAGCUAGUUGGUGGGGUAACGGCUCACCAAGGCGACGAUACAUAGCCGACCUGAGAGGGUGAUCGGCCACACUGGGACUGAGACACGGCCCAGACUCCUACGGGAGGCAGCAGUAGGGAAUCUUCGGCAAUGGACGGAAGUCUGACCGAGCAACGCCGCGUGAGUGAAGAAGGUUCUCGGAUCGUAAAACUCUGUUGUUAAAGAAGAACAAGGAUGAGAGUAACUGCUCAUCCCCUGACGGUAUUUAACCAGAAAGCCACGGCUAACUACGUGCCAGCAGCCGCGGUAAUACGUAGGUGGCAAGCGUUGUCCGGAUUUAUUGGGCGUAAAGCGAGCGCAGGCGGUUCUUUAAGUCUGAUGUGAAAGCCCCCGGCUCAACCGGGGAGGGUCAUUGGAAACUGGAGAACUUGAGUGCAGAAGAGGAGAGUGGAAUUCCACGUGUAGCGGUGAAAUGCGUAGAUAUGUGGAGGAACACCAGUGGCGAAGGCGACUCUCUGGUCUGUAACUGACGCUGAGGCUCGAAAGCGUGGGGAGCAAACAGG